Molecule: ribosomal RNA, 400 nt
Filed under: phytoplankton environmental sample
Lineage: Eukaryota
Description: partial small subunit ribosomal RNA
Rfam family: Eukaryotic small subunit ribosomal RNA
Source: RNAcentral
AGCUCCAAUAGCGUAUAUUAAAAUUGUUGCAGUUAAAAAGCUCGUAGUUGGAUCUCAGGUCUGGUGUGUCGGUCUGGUCAUUGUACUAUGAUUGUGCGCAUCUGCCUUUAUUAGCUGUAUGAUGCCCCAUGGUGUUCUUCAUUGAAUGCUAUGUGGGUGCUCGGCACGUUUACCUUGAAAAAAUCAGAGUGCUUAAAGCAGGCCUUUGCGCUUGUAUGUUGUUGCAUGGAAUAAUGGAAUAGGACUUCGGUUCUAUUUUGUUGGUUUUCGGUACUGAAGUAAUGAAAAAUAGAGACAGAAGGGGCUCUUUGUAUGCCGGUGGGAGAGGUGAAAUUCUGAGAUCGCCGGCAGACAAACUACUGCGAAAGCACUGAGCAAUAAUGGUCUCAUUAAUCAAGAA